AUGGCUAUCAAUGAAAUCGCAAUGUGUUACUGUUGCCUUUCCAUUACCGCUGACACAAUUAUCACAUGGAAAAAAUACUGUUUUAUAGAGCCUGAGGUUCCUAAAGAAAAAGCUCCUGAACCAAAACUCAAAAGAGUACCUGAAGUCAUCAAAGAGAAAGUAAAACCAGCCCCUGAAAAGAAAGAGGCUGAAGUCAAGGAGAAAGCUAAACCAGCCCCUGAGAAGAAAGAGGCUGAAGUCAUCAAGGAGAAAGUUAAAACAGCUCCUGUAAAGAAAGAGCCUGAAGUUCCUAAAGAAAAGGCUCCUGAACCAAAACCCAAAAAAGAAGCAGAAGUCAUCAAAGAGAAAGUAAAACCAGCCCCUGAGAAGAAAGGUUUGAUUUACUGUUAA
RNAcentral lists this long non-coding RNA (390 nucleotides) under Sinocyclocheilus anshuiensis. Its description in RNAcentral is "lncRNA (ENSSANG00000012256.1)". The record is from RNAcentral. Lineage: Eukaryota; Metazoa; Chordata; Actinopteri; Cypriniformes; Cyprinidae.